RNAcentral lists this ribosomal RNA (253 nucleotides) under uncultured bacterium. RNAcentral's name for it is "partial 16S ribosomal RNA". It matches the Rfam family "Bacterial small subunit ribosomal RNA", at positions 524 to 776 of the family's 1533-position model. The record is from RNAcentral.
UACGAAGGGGGCGAGCGUUGUUCGGAUUUACUGGGCGUAAAGGGCGCGCAGGCGGCUCAUUUUGUCAGGCGUGAAAGCCCCGGGCUUAACCUGGGAACUGCGUUUGAUACGGAUGGGCUAGAGUUCGGGAGAGGAGAGUGGAAUUCCUGGUGUAGCGGUGAAAUGCGCAGAUAUCAGGAGGAACACCUAUAGCGAAGGCAGCUUGCUGGGACGUUACUGACGCUAAGGCGCGAAAGCGUGGGGAGCGAACAGG